AUGCAAAACAAUGAAAUUAUAAAACCUGCCAAAUACUUCUCAGAACUAGAAAAGAGUACCCUGCUGAUUUUAGUAGAAAAGUACAAAUAUGUGCUGGAAUGUAAGAAAAGUGAUGUGUGAACUAUUGCCCUUAAGCAAUCAAUGUACCUGCAGGCGCUGACCCACGAAUGCAACUCUCAGCCGAGCUGUCCCUGCCGGAUUUCAAACAGCUGAAGAAGGGCUGGGAGAACAUCAAGGCUUGGACUAAAACAAUUAUGGCCCAUGAAAGGAGAGAGAAGGUGAAAGGGAGCGUCAGCCCCCUCCUGAGUAACCAAGUCCUAGGGAAGGAGAUCACCAGCAUGCUGCUGGAGCAGCUCUACUUCCUGCAGAGCACUCCUUCCACCCCUCCCCCCGGAGGAGGAGCCCAAAUACCACGCCACGGCCCAAGAAUCAUUUGCUGUUUCAAAUAGAGAACUGUGCGAUGAUGAGAAAGAGUUCAUACGUUUUCCAACACGUGAGAGGACCUCUCAACCUGAACCCUCGUGUUCAGCUGUCAGAAUAACAGCCAAUAAAAACUACAUGAGCAAAAUCUCUCAGGAAGGUGCUUUAAAAAAGAUGCACGAGGACUGAACAUGAUCAACAAAUGUCCAUCUUACAAUUGCAACUGAUACAAAUGAAUGAGGUGCAUUGUGGCCAAAAUCCAGCAGACAGAGCGAGAGUGUGAGAUGGCAGAGGAGGAACACAGGAUAAAAAUGAAGUUCUCAAUAAAGAGAAGAUGUAUUGGGAAAAAAAACUACAAACUUUUACCAAGGAAUGGCCUGCUUCCUCAUUUAACCGGCCCUUUCCCAAUUCACCCUAA
This 838-nucleotide long non-coding RNA is filed under the name Homo sapiens (human). RNAcentral describes it as "non-protein coding lnc-NOS2-10:1". The record is from RNAcentral. Lineage: Eukaryota; Metazoa; Chordata; Mammalia; Primates; Hominidae.